AUAUGUGUAUGAUGCCUCAUCCUUCGGUGCUUUGGAUGUAGCCUGUCUAGAGAGAAAAAAUGGUUGAGAGUUCGCUGGCAAUUCAUUUGUUUGUGGUGCCGCAUUUACUGUUUCUUAUCAUGCGUUUUCUGAUCAAUGUUGCCAUUCAAGUGCACAGGUUUCGGUAAUGACAUUUCUAGAAGUUAAAAUAAUUGUUUGCAAACAUAGCCUAACUGCACUCCUCAUAGGUUAAACUCCCACACUAGUAGAAAGCCACAUUUUAGAGCUGAAAGAUGAUUUCCAGAGCUUAUCCAUGAUGUUGCACAACAAUAGAUAACAAUCAAAGUGUGGCUUCAGUUGUAGAAAUGUUGCUAUUGCACGGCAACAAUAAAUCAACAGAGCACAGUUUCUGAAGCACCUGACAUACCGUCAGCAUCCAGUGGCCCCUCAAGAGCACCCAGAGGCCCUUAAACAGCGGCCAGUGGCCCCUGAAGAUAAUAAUUCCAUCCUCCUGAUUCCUGCUUACAAGCAACAAUUAAAGCAGGAAGCACCAGUGACUAGACCAAUAAAAAAGUGGUCAGAUGAAGCAGAUGCUGAGCUACAGGACUGUUUUGCUAGCACAGACUGGAAUAUGUAACGGGAUUCCUCCAAUGGCAUUGAGGAGUACACCACGUCUGUCAUUGGCUUCAACAAUAAGUGCAUCGAUGACGUCGACCCCACAGUAACCAUACGUACAUACCCCAACCAGAAGCCAUGGAUUACAGGCAGCAUCCGCACUAAGCUAAAGGCUAGAGCUGCCGCUUUCAAGGAGUGGGACUCUAACCUGGAAGCUUAUAAGAAAUCCUGCCAUGCCCUUCGACGAACCAUCAAACAGGCAAAGCAUCAAUACAGGACUAAGAUCGAGUCGUAAUACAUCGGCUCUGACGCUCGUCGGGUGUGGCAGGGCUUGCAAACCAUUACAAACUACAAAGGGAAGCACCGCCGAGAGCUGCCCAGUGACACGAGCCUAUCAGACGAGCUAAACUACUUCUAUGCUUGCUUCGAGGCAAAUAACACUGAAACAUGCAUGAGAGCACCAGCUGUACCGGAAGACUGUGUGAUCACGCUCUCUGCAGCCGAUGUGAG
RNAcentral lists this long non-coding RNA (1104 nucleotides) under Salmo salar (Atlantic salmon). RNAcentral's name for it is "lncRNA (ENSSSAG00000093834.1)". The record is from RNAcentral. Lineage: Eukaryota; Metazoa; Chordata; Actinopteri; Salmoniformes; Salmonidae.